RNAcentral lists this long non-coding RNA (327 nucleotides) under Trifolium pratense (red clover). RNAcentral's name for it is "long non-coding RNA (TPRA_LNC010309)". Lineage: Eukaryota; Viridiplantae; Streptophyta; Magnoliopsida; Fabales; Fabaceae. The record is from RNAcentral.
CUCAAGAAGGAAGUAAGCUAGCAAAGAACUAAUGGAAAGCAAGCUUGAUCUUUAAUGAAAAUGGUGGAAAGGAAAAAUUUAUGAAGAUGGGGUUUAAGAGAGGAGAAGCCACGGCAAAGAGAAGAAGAAAGGAGAAAGAAAAAUGAUCUUUUGAUUUUGGCUAAGUACAAAAAGCAAUAAGACCUUCCUUCACAAGUAAAGCCUAGGCAUUCCCUAGCCAUUGGAUCAAAAAGCAAAUUGAAUCCUCACCAUUAGAUCUUUUACUUUUGUGACAAAGAUAUUUUCAUAAAGUUUAGAGAUUAAAACCCUCCACAGACGAGUCGCGUU